CGGCGGGGGAAAGGCGGCGCGGCAGCAGCAGACGCAGCACCCGCCGCCGGCCCUGCAGAGACCCUGGGAGAAGCUGCGCCUGGAGGAGCGCGAGGCGGAGAAGGAGGCGAGGAAAGUCAGCAAGAGCAUCGACCGGGCGCUCAAAGAGCAGAAGCGGGAGUACAAGCAGACGCACCGCCUGCUGCUACUGGGCAAUAGCAUUUUGACAGUUUCUUCAAGGAGGCUGCAUUCCUAUAAAGGGCAACAGGGAAGCUCUUCUCAGCCAUUGAUUCCGUCUAAUUGUCCAAUUGGUCUUCAGAAACUGCAGCAAAGGGAAACCUUCCCUCUGUGAUUUGGCUUAGCUCAUACAAUGGUGUUACAAAGCAAGAUGGAAAAUAUCUGUAAUAACAAUCUGACAGUAAAUUGAGUCCCCAUUCUCUGCUGAUACCGCUUUUCCAGCCCCUCUUCUUUGCUUAUUUGAGAAAUGCAUACUUUUUGAUGCAUGUAAUAUAACCUGUAUUUAAUUUCUGUCAUGUGA
This 517-nucleotide long non-coding RNA is filed under the name Gallus gallus (chicken). Its description in RNAcentral is "lncRNA (ENSGALG00010002193.1)". Lineage: Eukaryota; Metazoa; Chordata; Aves; Galliformes; Phasianidae. The record is from RNAcentral.